This 253-nucleotide ribosomal RNA is filed under the name uncultured bacterium. RNAcentral's name for it is "partial 16S ribosomal RNA". It matches the Rfam family "Bacterial small subunit ribosomal RNA", at positions 524 to 776 of the family's 1533-position model. The record is from RNAcentral.
UACGGAGGGGGCUAGCGCUGUUCGGAAUUACUGGGCGUAAAGCGUACGUAGGCGGAUCUGUAAGUAGGGGGUGAAAUCCCCAGGCUCAACCUGGGAACUGCCUUCUAGACUGCAAGUCUCGAGAUCAGGAGAGGCGAGUGGAAUUCCGAGUGUAGAGGUGAAAUUCGUAGAUAUUCGGAGGAACACCAGUGGCGAAGGCGACUCGCUGGACUGAUACUGACGCUGAGGUACGAAAGAGUGGGGAGCAAACAGG